RNAcentral lists this long non-coding RNA (316 nucleotides) under Pan troglodytes (chimpanzee). RNAcentral describes it as "long non-coding RNA NONPTRT007791". The record is from RNAcentral. Lineage: Eukaryota; Metazoa; Chordata; Mammalia; Primates; Hominidae.
GGAACCGUAAUCUGCAUUUCUUAAAAGAUCUCUAAGAGGGAGGUGGGAAACAAAUGCCAGUGGGCAAGGGGGAAACAGGGAGACAAUUUCAGCAACCAUUUCAAUGCCCUAAGAAGGAGAUGGCGAGGAGUGAAUGAUCUUGGUGGCCUGGCAGGUGAAGAAGGAGGAGCUCACAUUGUUGACAAUUAACCCGAUCCAAGAGACCUGCAUAAAUCAAUCACUACAGGAAAAAAAAAAUUGUUCUUGAUCUACAGUGACAAAUGUGUAGACAAGGAUAUUAACUGGCCUCAUUCCUCCUCCAUCACCCUCACUGAGG